CCUACGGGGGGCUGCAGUCGAGAAUCUUCGGCAAUGGGCGCAAGCCUGACCGAGCGACGCCGCGUGCGGGAUGAAGGCCUUCGGGUUGUAAACCGCUGUCGAAGGGGAGGAAAUUGUAGUGGGUUCACCCAUUAUAUUGACCGAUCCUUGGAGGAAGGGCCGGCUAAUCUCGUGCCAGCAGCCGCGGUAAUACGAGAGGCCCAAACGUUAUUCGGAUUUACUGGGCUUAAAGAGUUUGUAGGCGGUUCGGUAAGUGAGAUGUGAAAGCCCUCGGCUCAACCGAGGAAUUGCGUUUCAAACUGCCGGGCUCGAGGGAGAUAGAGGUGAGCGGAACUGAUGGUGGAGCGGUGAAAUGCGUUGAUAUCAUCAGGAACACCAGAGGCGAAGGCGGCUCACUGGGUCUCUUCUGACGCUGAGAAGCGAAAGCUAGGGGAGCAAACGGGCUUAGAUACCCUGGUAGUC
This 462-nucleotide ribosomal RNA is filed under the name uncultured Pasteuria sp. RNAcentral's name for it is "bacterial SSU rRNA". It matches the Rfam family "Bacterial small subunit ribosomal RNA", at positions 338 to 795 of the family's 1533-position model. The record is from RNAcentral. Lineage: Bacteria; Bacillati; Bacillota; Bacilli; Caryophanales; Pasteuriaceae.